RNAcentral lists this transfer RNA (68 nucleotides) under Pleophylla sp. PLE01. RNAcentral describes it as "tRNA-Ala". Lineage: Eukaryota; Metazoa; Arthropoda; Insecta; Coleoptera; Scarabaeidae. The record is from RNAcentral.
AGGGUAAUAGUUAAUUUAACAUUUAAUUUGCACUUAAAAAAUAUUGAUAUUCCAUUCAAUUUACCUUA